Molecule: ribosomal RNA, 396 nt
Filed under: uncultured bacterium
Lineage: Bacteria
Description: partial 16S ribosomal RNA
Rfam family: Bacterial small subunit ribosomal RNA
Source: RNAcentral
AUACGAAGGGUGCAAGCGUUAAUCGGAAUUACUGGGCGUAAAGCGCGCGUAGGUGGUUCAGCAAGUUGGAUGUGAAAGCCCCGGGCUCAACCUGGGAACUGCAUCCAAAACUACUGAGCUAGAGUACGGUAGAGGGUGGUGGAAUUUCCUGUGUAGCGGUGAAAUGCGUAGAUAUAGGAAGGAACACCAGUGGCGAAGGCGCCCUCCUGGAUUGAUCCUGACACUGAGGUGCGAAAGCGUGGGAGGAAACAAGAAUUAGAUACCCGGGUAGUCCACGCCGUAAACGAUGUCAACUAGUUGUUGGGUGCCUUGAGAACUUAGUAACGAAGCUAACGCGAUAAGUUGACCGCCUGGGGAGUACGGCCGCAAGGUUAAAACUCAAAUGAAUUGACGGGG